This 876-nucleotide ribosomal RNA is filed under the name uncultured organism. RNAcentral's name for it is "bacterial SSU rRNA". It matches the Rfam family "Bacterial small subunit ribosomal RNA", at positions 594 to 1466 of the family's 1533-position model. The record is from RNAcentral.
GUGAAAUCCCGGGGCUUAACACCGGAAGGGCAUAUGAAACUAUGAGACUUGAUUAUGGGAGAGGGAAGCGGAAUUCCUGGUGUAGCGCUGAAAUGAGUAGAUAUCAGGAGGAACACCGGUGACGAAGGCGGCUUCCUGGACCAAUACUGACGCUGAGGCGCGAAGGCGUGGGGAUCGAACAGGAUUAGAUACCCUGGUAGUCCACGCAGUAAACGUUGAUCACUAGGUGUAGCGGAUAUUGACCCCUGCUGUGCCGGAGUUAACGCAUUAAGUGAUCCGCUUGGGGAGUACGAUCGCAAGAUUAAAACUCAAAGGAAUAGACGGGGGCCCGCACAAGCGAUGGAGCAUGUGGUUUAAUUCGACGCAACGCGAAGAACCUUACCUGGACUUGACAUGUCGGGAAUUACGUUGAAAGACGGGAGUGCCUUUUACGAGGAUGUCGAUGACAGGUGAUGCAUGGCUGUCGUCAGUUCGUGUCGUGAGAUGUUGGGUUAAGUCCCGCAACGAGCGCAACCCAUAUGGUCUGUUACCAUCAGAUGAUGCUGGGGACUUGGGAGAUACUGCCCCGGCUUACGGGGAGGAAGGUGGGGAUAUCGUCAAGUCAUCAUGGCCGUUAUGUCUAGGGGUACACACGUGCUACAAUGGUAUGUACAAAGGGAAGCGAUCCCGCGAGGAGGAGGUAAUCACGAUAAGCAUAUCAAAGUUCGGAUGGGAGUCUGCUAAUCGACUCAGAGAAGUAGGAGUCGAUAGUGAUCGAGGAUCAGCAUGCCGCGGCGAAUACGUUCCCGGGCGUUGACACACCACCCGUCACACAAUGAGUGUCACUGUACCAGAAGUCAAUAGGUAACCAGCAAGGGGGUACGCGCAUAAGGUAUG